Nematostella vectensis (starlet sea anemone) is the source of this 2437-nucleotide long non-coding RNA. RefSeq lists it as uncharacterized. NCBI's taxonomy places the organism in Eukaryota, Metazoa, Cnidaria, Anthozoa, Actiniaria, Edwardsiidae. The transcript is spliced from 5 exons. The record is from RefSeq and is a predicted model, not a curated record.
ACGUAGACUUGGUCCAACAAUCUCAUGGUCCGGAAGUGCGGGAUUCAAUUGUCUUGUCCAACAACUGCUAAAUGAGCACGGGCUCAACCCAACAAACUGCCAAAGGGCCCCCAAAAGGGAAAACUGAUAAGUAGCCAGAAAUAUUUUCCCCUGUUUUGAUUUCAUUGAUUCAGUCGCGGCUUUCGAAAAGACUAGUCAUCCCGGACGAGCUGUCCACGUGAGAUGGGUUGUGUACCAUCACAGAUAUCGCCACAUAAGCUAUUAUCAACCAAGCUUGUGGAGCCGAACUGGGAUAAGAUUGAAACUGAUCUUCAUUCUGCUGUAAAGGGUAUUGGUACUGAUGAAGAUGUUAUAAUUAAGACAUUAGCAUCCUUGAGAAACACAGAAAGGCAGGAGUUGACUGUAGUAUACCAAAGAAAAUAUGGCAAGGAUCUGAGGUCUGUUCUUGAGUCAGAGCUGAGUUUUGGCCAUCAGGACACAGUGCCAUAUAUGACAGCAUCUCACUGAACGAUGCAAUCAAAGACCAGGAUCAUGAUUCACUUAUAGAGAUCAUCUGUUCUAGAACACCAGAACAAUUGAGAGAAAUGACAAGAGCAUAUGAAAAAGAGUAUUCCACAAAACUCGAUGAAGAUAUUAAGUCACUUGACAGUGAUUUUCAGGAGAUUCUUUGCAAGUUUUGCUUUUCAACAAAAGAAUCUCUGAGAUGCCCGGCAGAUCGCCUGGCAGCACAGGAGUGUGCAAGUCAGUUAUCUAGACAUGAAGUGAAGCUGGUAAGAAGUCAGCUUAAAGCAACUUUUAAAGAAUUGGAGGCAUUAAGAGAGAAUUCAAUGGACGAUUUUAUUGAAGUGCAGUACAAGAAUAAAAGCAAUGUAUUCCGGGAGUUGCUGAAGGCUUAUGGUGGAUUUAUACUAUAUCUAGAAGGAGUACUUGGCAAGGUACAACCAGAGACUGUCUGAAGCAAUCCAUGAACACAGUGCUCCCUUUUACUCUAAGCCGCUAAGGACAAUACUAGAUAUGUGGAACACACACAAGAUCUGCGGUGAGAGAGUAGCUUCGUUGCCAACGAAUAACAUAUUUAUAUAAAAACCAGAAACUAUUCUAAAAAAGAGAGGUAAGCUAUUAAAUAAGACGUAGGCUAUUACUGAUGCUGUGUUUUGAUUGCUUAAGCUUCAAUAGCAUAGUAGAAAAAAAAUUUAAGAGUCUAGUUACUUAGGUAUUUUAACUGCCUAUUUAUGUAGUUUUAGGUAUAGCAUCCUGAAUCAAUAAAAUAGUGCCUAAUUAAUACUAUAUAAUUAUUUUGAGUCCCCUAAGGUAAUUAAAUUUUACCCACACAACUAUCCCUUUUCCCUUCAUUGGCAUGACUCACUAGCCCAAAGGGUCAGGAUUGAUUAGAGAUAAAUAAAUAUUUUUAUUGUAUAUAUAACAAGACAAGUAAAAAAUGAUUUUAUUUUCAACCAGCCAAGUUUUUCCACACAACAUAAGUUUUUCCACACUUUUUAUAUUAAACCAUAUUACUCCAGUGAGUAUAUAUACACCUAUUUACAUAUAUACAAGUUAUAAUAAAGGCGACGAUUUAAACAAAAAUUAUUCAGUCGAAUCUUGAUUUAACGAAGUGCCAAGGGACUGGGGAAAUCUGUUAAAAAAUUGAGGGUUUGUUAUAUUGAGGUUCUGAUCCAUUCGUUUUACUGUUAUUUUGUCCCAGAUGAAAUAAGGAAAUUGUUCGUUAUACCGAGGACUUCAUUAAAGAGGACUUUGUAAAAUCGAGGUUGUACAUUACCUUGAGUUAUGCAAGUGUUAUUUUGUUUCCAGUGUAUGUUACAGCUUAAAUUGUUAUUGUGCGGCCUACCAGAUUCCAAAAUUCCAUUUUUCACUUCCAUUCUUCAUUUAGAAAGGGAGAAGUUAAUCAAACCAGUUAAAGAAAGGAGAUAUGGAUUCUGGGAUGAGGUAGUGAAACAACGAUAUAUCGGCCAUAACUGCAACAUGAGAGACUAUUCAGACUAAUCCUCCCUGCCUAUUGUAACCCCCCCUACCCAACACUUAACGACAAUCAUUCACAAAAGAAUGUUCCUUUUUCCCAAUACAAAUCCCUUUAAAAGUUUCAGCUUCAAUAAUCUACUCGUUUUAUCUACAACCAGCAGUCAUAAAGAAAUUUCUUAGCGAAAGCCAACACACAAUAUUCAUAUCCUCUCUAACAUUAAUCUAACAUAAUCUACUCAUUUUAUCUACAACUGGCAGUCAUAAAGGAAUUCCUUUGCAAAAAGCCAACACACAAUAUUCAUACCUUCUCUAACAUUUAAGUAAAUAAAACAUGUUCAAUAGUUUAGUUUAGAACACAGCUACCUGCAUUGCAGAAGAUAUUGUACUAAAAAAACAAGGGAAAGUAGACAAGGCUGCCAAAUAACUCCCUCUGCCUUUGAUCGCAUCCGUGCUUUAGAAA